CUUUUACGGAUGUUGCCCACUUGCCGUCACUUUACCCUACUAAAGCGGAAUCGUGGGAAGAUAUCCAUUGAAGAAGGCCAACGUUAUGGUCAACCUUCAAAACACCAAAGUCGAUCCAUGUUUCUGUUUUUUCUUUUGUUUAUAAUUUACUCCAUUUUAUUUGACAUAUUCACAUCUUUUAUUGGAUUUAGAUGUCAGCAUCCCUUAAUCUUCCCAAAGUGUGAUAUUAACUUUUUAUAUAUGGAAAAAUAGGUGUAGAUUUGUGUACAACAGUUUCGAUUGAAUUUGUAAUCAACGAUGUUUUUUUCAAAAGCAUAUUAUCAUAUUUCUUUUUUCUAUCUAUUGUAAUUCCACAGCAACAUGAAUAAGCUCAAUAACGUAAACGCUAAAUUUUGACAAGUCUGGCAUAAAAGCAGGUGAAGAUGAAAGGAUUUUGAAUAAUUCAAAAGUAUAUAUCCGAAUUAUUUAUCAGCUUUUUAAUGUAAAGUGAAGUUGUGAUGUCGGAGUAGAGUGACGAGCAACACCUGUUGCAACUCUUACUUCAUCAAGAGGCACCCCCAGACUAGCUUGAAUCCUAUCAUAUGGUCAUUGAUUAUAGAAAAUUAAAUCCCGAUAAAUAUUCGAAUGUCUUUCAUGAGUCGUUUCUCAGAUCCGUGGAAAGCUCUUAUUCCCAUCACAUGCGUGUUACCCCUUCUCAGUAAUUAGACACCAGGAGUUGGGCUAGUAAUCAUAGGCAAACUACUAUGCCCAACAUGGUUCCCGUUAUUACUCACACCCCCUUCUCUGGUUGAUAAUGCUAAAAAUAAACAAGCUUCUAGAUUUUAAGAUCCAUCAGAAGGGUGUUGAAGGUACGUUUAGAGUCAGUCACAAUUUCAACAAAUUCUUCAGAGACACUAUGAACUUAUUUAGUAGAUUCUCUUUUUUCAUUUAAAACUUUUCUCUUUUGAUCUCUGAGUCGGAGGAUCAACAUAGGUCUUUAGUUAGAUGUAGAUAAUCAUUGUAGCAUUUUUUUACUUUGUCUUUAGCAUGUCAAUCUUUGACUUGUAUUUCCUUUGUUUUUAACGUUUUGUCUCAGAUUGUAGAUUAUCAGAUGCUUAUUGAAUACUUCUUAUUUUUAUUUUUUGACUUACUCUAUUAGUAAACAUAAUUAAUUGCUUAUUUGGUGAUAAUGUUUUUGUGUUAAAAACACUUAAAUUAGUAUCUCUAAUUUAUUCAUAAUUUAUGCUACCUUAAAAUAGAUAAUCAUUAAUAUAAUUCUUCAUCUUCUAACUUAAUAUGCACAUUUAGUAAAUACACAGUUAAGGGAUAAUUAUUCUUAUUUGUUUAAUUGUUCUUCAUCUUCUAAUUGUUCUUCCCACCGCCUUCAGACGAGGAAGGUCUAGAUACUCUAGGGGGGUCGCACUAACACACACCGCUUUAUAAUUUAGAGUGCUUAUGAUUUGUAGCAUGAAAGUGGCAUUGUUGCAAGUAGUAAUUGGAAGACUAUGUAGGGGUGGAAUGAUCAUCACCGCAUUCAGAUUGUUAUGUGAUUAGCAGCACAUGAGCAUAUUCUCACCAUAUUUUGGAGGUGCAGAUAGGGAGUAGGAAUUUCUACUUCCUGUCCUAGCUGUGGGAGGGAUGAUGACACUACCUUUCAUGUUCUGCGUGACAGUGUGCAGGCUACUCAGGUAUGGCCUUGACUAGUUCCUUCUAAUGACAUAACUAGUUUAUUUUAUUCUAAUUGCAUGGAACGGAUUUUCAACAACCUUAGUAAACAUGAGAGUGAAGCUCCAAAUGAUCGUUGACACACAAUCUUCAUGACUAACAUGUUGGUUUCUUCGGAUGUGGAGGAAUAAGUCAAUUUUUCAUUUUGAAUUUAAGAGAUCAAUUGAUCAUGUGAGGCUAUCUUGAAAUACUCUAAAGAUAUCGUUGAUGUAAUCACCAUCAUUUGCAUCAAGUGAUGGCAAUUGUUAAGGGAACCUCAAGUUUAGAGAUCUUUAUUGCAACUCCAAUGGGUAUUGGAUAAAAGCUGCACAAAGAUGACCAGUACAUUCGACACUUUUCAUGCUGAGAUGUGAAGUUUAUACCUUGGGUUGGAUACGACAUGGAGAAAUCAUAUUUUGUACCUUUUUGUUGAGAGUGAUUCAAAAAUCUUGAUCGACAUAGUGUUGGAGAAUUGUAACAUCAGAGGGGGGUUUUCCAACUUUUGUGAAACACGUCAAAAGCCUCUUAGUGUUACGUCUAAGUUCAUCAUACUUGGAGGAAAAGUAACAAAUGUGCUGAUUAACUUACCAAUUAUACCCUUUCUUUAAGGAACAUUAGGUGUAAUACAGUGGAGGAUCAUCCUAAUGACCACUAUAAUUUGUUUUUGAUGA
Molecule: long non-coding RNA, 2354 nt
Organism: Cicer arietinum (chickpea)
Lineage: Eukaryota; Viridiplantae; Streptophyta; Magnoliopsida; Fabales; Fabaceae
Source: RefSeq, a predicted model, not a curated record